RNAcentral lists this ribosomal RNA (255 nucleotides) under uncultured bacterium. RNAcentral's name for it is "partial 16S ribosomal RNA". It matches the Rfam family "Bacterial small subunit ribosomal RNA", at positions 524 to 776 of the family's 1533-position model. The record is from RNAcentral.
UACGUAGGGCGCAAGCGUUGUCCGGAAUUAUUGGGCGUAAAGAGCUCGUAGGCGGUUUGUCGCGUCUGCUGUGAAAACCUGCGGCUCAACCGUGUGGUCUGCAGUCGAUACGGGCAGGCUGGAGUUCGGUAGGGGAGACUGGAAUUCCUGGUGUAGCGGUGAAAUGCGCAGAUAUCAGGAGGAACACCGGUGGCGAAGGCGGCAUCCUGGACCGGCAUUGACGCUGAGUGAGCGAAAGCCAGGGGAGCAAACGGG